CACAGACUGAGGUGCACUACUGGGAUAUCUGAUCUACUCAGAAUCGUGACUGACUGAGAUUUUUUUCUGUUCACUUUGUUGAUCCCAUUUUCUUAUUCUAUACACAACUAGCUGCUAUUGCUCUACAUUCUUCUAUAUUUGAUGUUUUGGAUUCUGCACAUCUAUUCUAUCAACGCUACCAAUUCCAUCAUCUUUGAUACUUGUUGUCCUUAAUCUCUCUCUUUCACAAUCAGUCAAUGUUUCUCAUCUUUGGUGCACACCGGCGAUGGGCAGCAUCCACACAUUGAGACAGUAUGUCAAUGAACAAAAAAAAAAAAAUCCUUCACGUGACAGAAGCAGUAGUUGACUUGCUGCACUGCGGACCAUUAUAUAUCAGGCUCUGAUCAGAGUGUGAGGUCUGAAAGGUUGCAAGGGUGACAUAUUCAGAUAAAAGAAAUAAAUCUCCUCAAUGAUUCAAGCCUUGC
Molecule: small RNA, 464 nt
Filed under: Histoplasma capsulatum
Lineage: Eukaryota; Fungi; Ascomycota; Eurotiomycetes; Onygenales; Ajellomycetaceae
Also listed under: 1 other name
Description: hypothetical RNA
Source: RNAcentral